AAGUCGUAACAAGGUUUCCGUAGGUGAACCUGCGGAAGGAUCAUUAUAAAAUUUUCAUAUAUUAUUUAUUUUAAUAUAUAAAAUAUACACAAAAUGUAUUCAAAACCCACACUCUUAAUUUAACCAUUAUAAAAAUAUUAUAAUAUGAAAACAACUUUCAACAACGGAUCUCUUGGCUCUC
RNAcentral lists this unclassified non-coding RNA (181 nucleotides) under fungal sp. RNAcentral's name for it is "partial internal transcribed spacer region". The stretch from base 1 to 46 matches the Rfam family "Eukaryotic small subunit ribosomal RNA", at positions 1786 to 1831 of the family's 1831-position model. Lineage: Eukaryota; Fungi. The record is from RNAcentral.